UUUCCCAUUUGACUAGCACAUUUUCUCUUGUGAUAGAUUUUAGUGUCUAUGCUUAUGGGAUAGAUGAAAGUUGCCAUGAUCUGAAGAGGGAGGGCUUUUCCGUGCCCUCCUCCUAUAUGAAAUGGCUGAACAGAAGGAA
Molecule: small nucleolar RNA, 139 nt
Organism: Cavia aperea (Brazilian guinea pig)
Lineage: Eukaryota; Metazoa; Chordata; Mammalia; Rodentia; Caviidae
Source: Ensembl